CGGUUGCCGUCUUGCGUGCGCUACGGUGCUAGCCUGCAGCUGUUUUACAGUCAAGUAUAAUUGCCAGCGAAAAUCGUUGACAAAAAACUUCAAGCUUAAGUUGCACAAAACGGAAAACAAAAGGGCUUCCAUGAUAAACGGCAAACGGCAAUGUGAUCGCCGAUCCAGAUAGUGGCAUUGCGUAGAUUUUCAAGGAAAUGGAUGCAGGCAGAAUAGAGAUUCUAUGGAGACAGAAAGCCAUAACCAAUACUCAGGAUUGAUUGUUGCUAGAAUCGGUAUAACUGUACAAAGAUUAAUUGCAAAUCAAUCAACGAUCUUUCAGAACAAAUCAAUAUUACACUAAGUUGCACUAGCACGCUACCACUACCACUAUCGAGAUAAUAUUGAACGAGCUGUUUGGAUACGUCGGGUUAGACAACAAAGUAAACAAGGCAAAAAGGCAACACAGGGGUGACGAUAGGAACACGGCACUAAGCACUUAAGGCGUUAAGAUUAUCGAUAUCCAACUGGCCGUUGUCGAGUGAACAAGUCUUGAGCUGUUAAAACCGCACAAACCACUUUAGUAACAACACUGACGACGAACUAAAAGUAAGUGUUAAAUGCGACUGCGGGCAAGUGGCGACCGUGGCGACGUCGAGACUAGCUCGUUUGACCAGCACGAGAACCAGAAAGCCAGAAAUAAGAUGAAUGAUCCGCAAGAAAUCCACGAAGAUGAAAACGAGAACGGUGGCGGAGAUGAAGAUGUGGUGCAGUGCCUUCGGCUCCUUCGUUUCAGAGCCGCUCGCUGUGCCAAUCCACCGAGAAUUGUUAGCUUUAAAUGCAAAGUCCAGUGUUCCAGUAAGAAUAAUGCGAAUAUGCUCUGACCGUAGUACUAUGUAGAUCCUUGGCAUAUACUCACAUGUAGUUCCACGCACUUACAUAUAUGAUUACCUUUUUUGUGAUCGAAACCUUGGUUCAAACACAACUGCUGUUUUCGUUCAUCAGAUAUUAUUUACUAAACCUUAGUUAUCCAUUCUCAUCCACGAAGAGCAAUACACUUUUUGACUGCUUUAUGAUGAUUGUUAAUUGAAUCAUCCCUUCACGCAGUAAAGAUUUUAUAUGGGGUCAUGAUUCACCCUGCCUUGAAAUUAAUCGCCAGUGGGCGUUUGAUUAGGCAAAUGACCAACACAGUGAUUUGUUACUUCUGGUAAUCAUAGCUCUUUAUAUUUUCUGGAAAUUGCCCAAUAAUAUUCAUAAAUCAUUGC
This 1244-nucleotide long non-coding RNA is filed under the name Hermetia illucens (black soldier fly). RNAcentral describes it as "uncharacterized LOC119656667, transcript variant X1". The record is from RNAcentral. Lineage: Eukaryota; Metazoa; Arthropoda; Insecta; Diptera; Stratiomyidae.